CAAAUGGAAGAGAUGCACAGGGCAGGGUGAGGAGAGAGGGGCACAGAGCUUCCUUCCAUGCCUGCUCCAGCUCACCACCGCCCCCCUACCUCGAUGUUCUGGAAUUUCUCUGAACCUUAUUGUUUGGGGGUUUUUAUAUCAGUUUUCAUUACACAGGCAUGAUUGAUUAAAUUAUUGUCCAUUGGUAAUAAACUCAAUUUCUAGCCCCUUUCCUCUCUCUAGAGGUGGUGGGGAGGGUGGGACAAAAGGUCCAACCCUCUAAUCACAUGGUUGGUUCUUCUGCCUGCCAACCCCCAUCCUAAGGCUAUCCCAGGGCCUGCCAAGUUUGAGUUUUGACACAUGUAUACAUUUGUGCACCUACCACCCCGAUCAAGCUAUAGGACAUUUCCAUUAUCCUGAAAAGUUCUUUUAGGCCUCUUUAUUGUCAAUACCACCCCCAACCACCAGACACAAGUAACUACUGACCUAUUUUCUGUCACUAUGGGUUAGUUUUCCUUUUUCUAAAAUAUCACAUAAAAGGAAUUAUGCAGCAUGUAUUCUUUUGUGUCUGGCUUCCUUCACUCAGCAUUGUUUUUGAGAUCCACACUCUGUAUAUCAAUAGUCUGUUGUCUUUUAUUAUGAAAUAGUCUUCUAUUGUAAUGAUAUACCACAAUUUGUUUAACCAUUCAUUUGUUUAUGGACAUUUGGGUUGUUUCUAGUUUUAGGAUAUUAUGAAUAAAGCUACUAUGAGCAUUUGUGUAUAAGUCUCUGAAUGGAUGUAUGUUUUUAUUUCUCAUUGGUAUAUAUGUAGGAAUAGAAUUGACAGAUACAUGGCAGUGUAAAUAAGUAAGGAACUGUUCAACUGUUUUCUAAAGUGGUUGUACCAUUCUACAUUUGUCUCAGCAAUAUAUGAGAGAGUUUCAGUGGCUCCAUAACCUCACCCAUGACAUUCUCAGUUAUUUGGUUUUAUUUUUAGCCAUUCUAUGGGUAUGUAAAAAUAUAUCAAUGUGGCUUUAACUUUAUGGCUGAAAAUGUUGAACAUCUUUCUAUGCAUAUAUUGAUCAUUCUCAUCUUUUUAAAAUGUCAAAUGACUUACCCAAUUUUAAAACUGUGUUGUCUUCAUUAUCAAGUUGUAAAUGUUCUUUAUAUAUUCUGGAUACAGGUCUUUCAUCAGAUAAAAGUAACACAAACAACAAAUCUGUUGGGGCUUGUUUUAUUUUUUAAAGGUGACUUUUGAAAUAUGGAAUGUUUAAUAUUAUUCUUUCAUAUUUUAUGUGAUAUCUAAGAAAUCUUUGUCUGCUCCAGGUUUAAGAAGACAUUUUCCUAUGUUUUGUUGUAAACAUUUUAUAAUUUUUAUUUUUACAUUUAGGUCUCUAUUCUAUUUAUAAUUAGUCUUGCAUUUACUGUGAGGUAAGAGUUGAAGUUCAUGCUUUUUUCACAUAGGCAUCCAGUGGUUCAAGCACUAUUUAAUGAAAAAUCUUUUCUACUUUUAAUUACUUUGGCACAUUAAAUUUCUUUAAUAAAUACAGUGCUAUUAGGUUUCCCUGUUUCUUUUUAUGUUAAUUUUGGUAGCUUAUGUCUUUCAAUAAAUUUGCCCAUUUCCUCUAAGUUAUUCAAUUUGUUGCAUGCAUUUGUUCAUAAUAGUCCACUUUUAUCUUUUUAAUGCCUGCAGUGAUGUCUCCUCUUUCAUUCCUGAAUUUAGUAACUCAUAUCCUUUUUUUCUUGGUCUAAUUAGAAACAACAAUUUUUCAAAGAAUCUGCUUUUGGUUUCAUUGGUUUUUUUCCUGUUAAUUAAAUAUUUUCAAAUUUCAUUUAUUUUAUUCAUAUUUUUAUUUCUUACCUUCUACUUACUUACUUUGGGUUCAAUUUGUUCUUCUGUUUUUUUAGCUUCUUAAUGUAAAAUUUUGUAUCAUUAAUUUUAGACUUUUAUUCCUUUCUAAUGUAAGCAUUUAAAGCUCUAAAUUUCCCCCAAUCACUGCUUCAGCUGUAUCCUACAAAUUAUGAUGUAUUGUAUUUUAAUUAUUAUUUAGGUAAAAAUAUAUCCUCAUAUUCUUUGUGAUAUGAUCUAUAAUACAUGAUUAGAGAUGUUUAAUCUCCAAACAUUUGUGGAUUUUUCAAUAUCUGUUAUUAAUUUCUAAUUGAUUCUUUUGUAGUCAGAGGACACAGUCUAUAUUGUUUUAGUGCUUUAAAUUUGUUUAGACUAUAAUCCUGCAUAUAUGUUGCCUUGAUGAGUGUUCCAUGUGCAUCUGAAAAUAAUGUAUAUGUUAUUGUUGUUCCAUGGAGCAUCCUAGAAAUGUUGUUCUGUAAAUAUCUAGAUCAAGUUGGUUGAUACUGCUAUUCCAUUCUUCUAUAUUCUUACUGAGUUUUCUGUUUUACCAACUACUGAGAGAAGAGAUUUGAAAUUCCCAAGUAUUACUGUGGGCUUAUUUCUCUUUUGUCAGCUUUUGCUUCAUGUAUAUUUGAAGCUCUGUAAUUAGAUACAUGCACAUUUAUGAGGCAUUCUUGAUUAAAUACUCUGUUAUCAUCAUAAGAC
RNAcentral lists this long non-coding RNA (2512 nucleotides) under Homo sapiens (human). Its description in RNAcentral is "HSALNT0074005". Lineage: Eukaryota; Metazoa; Chordata; Mammalia; Primates; Hominidae. The record is from RNAcentral.